Molecule: ribosomal RNA, 227 nt
Filed under: uncultured bacterium
Lineage: Bacteria
Description: partial 16S ribosomal RNA
Rfam family: Bacterial small subunit ribosomal RNA
Source: RNAcentral
GAUCAUGGCUCAGGAUGAACGCUAGCUACAGGCUUAACACAUGCAAGUCGAGGGGCAGCAUGGUCUUAGCUUGCUAAGACUGAUGGCGACCGGCGCACGGGUGAGUAACACGUAUCCAACCUGCCGUCUACUCUUGGACAGCCUUCUGAAAGGAAGAUUAAUCCAGGAUGGGAUCAUGAGUUCACAUGUCCGCAUGAUUAAAGGUAUUUUCCGGUAGACGAUGGGGA